CCUAGAUCAGAGAUGAGACCAAAAGUAAAAGAAUCAACAGCCAAACCGACACAGGUGUUAUUAAAGGACUUACUGUUUAAACAUGCCUAAACCCUGUGCCUUGAGUGUGCAAGCUGACUUAUUAGAAAAGGACAGGGCUGGCUGACCUGUCCCUAUCAGUCCCAAGUCAUGCACCCUGUGCCCCGGGAAGUGGGCAGUGACCCCAUGCUGGCAGUGUGGCAUCACAGGCCCGGGGCAGGGAGUGCUGUGUAAACCUGGGAUGUAGAGCCACAUUCCCCCUCUCCCUGUGCAUGCUGGGCUUGGCCCCACAUUAUGCCAAGGGAAGCGGGACCUCUUUUCUCAUUGGCCAUCCUAGCCACCCCUCCCUGCCUUGUGCCUGCAUGAGGCUGGGAGACUUGAUGAAUACAGAAUCCCUGAAGGACUCUGUUCCUUCUUCAAAAGCUUUAAGGAAGCAUGGUUUGUAUGAGAAAUGGCUAAUCAGAAAGGGAUGAUGUUUCAUAGGUAUGAAAGAUGGGCAAAAGAUACUAUUUCAUGGAGAAGGAGAUCAGGAGCCUGAGCUGGAGCCUGGUGAUGUCAUAAUUGUGCUUGAUCAGAAGGAUCAUAGUGUCUUUCAGAGACGAGGCCAUGACUUGAUCAUGAAAAUGAAAAUUCAGCUUUCUGAAGCUCUUUGUGGCUUCAAGAAGACGAUAAAAACAUUGGACAAUCGAAUUCUUGUUAUUACAUCCAAAGCAGGUGAGGUGAUAAAGCACGGGGACCUGAAAUGCGUGUGCGAUGAAGGAAUGCCCAUCUACAAAGCACCCCUGGAAAAAGGGAUUCUGAUCAUACAGUUUUUAGUAAUCUUUCCUGAAAAACACUGGCUUUCUCUGGAAAAGCUUCCUCAGCUGGAAGCUUUACUCCCUCCUCGACAGAAAGUGAGGAUUACAGAUGACAUGGAUCAGGUGGAGCUGAAGGAGUUUUGUCCCAAUGAGCAGAACUGGCGUCAGCACAGGGAGGCCUACGAGGAGGACGAAGACGGGCCCCGGGCUGGAGUGCAGUGCCAGACGGCAUGAUGUGGUGCGGGGCAGCGUGGCCCCACCGGACUAGCACAUGAUGAAUGUAAAGUUGGCACAAUGAAAAUGGCAUCGCUUUAAUGGC
RNAcentral lists this small RNA (1134 nucleotides) under Pongo abelii (Sumatran orangutan). Its description in RNAcentral is "retained intron". The record is from RNAcentral. Lineage: Eukaryota; Metazoa; Chordata; Mammalia; Primates; Hominidae.